This 369-nucleotide ribosomal RNA is filed under the name uncultured eukaryote. RNAcentral's name for it is "partial 18S ribosomal RNA". It matches the Rfam family "Eukaryotic small subunit ribosomal RNA", at positions 592 to 975 of the family's 1831-position model. The record is from RNAcentral.
CAAUAGCGUAUAUUAAAGUUGUUGCAGUUAAAAAGCUCGUAGUUGGAUUUCUGGUCGGAAGCUCCUGUCCUCUGAUGAGCGUACAAGUGCGUCCUACCAUCCUUCUGUUAACCUUUAAGGCUUUCGCGGCUUUCUAGGGGCUCAGAUAUUUUACCUUGAGAAAAUUAGAGUGUUUCAGGCAGGCUAGCGCCGGAAUACAUUAGCAUGGAAUAAUGGAAUAGGACUUUUGCCUCUUCUGUUGGUCAUGAGGCUCGAGUAAUGAUUAAUAGGGAUAGUUGGGGACAUUAGUACUUAACUGUCAGAGGUGAAAUUCUCGGAUUUGUUAAAGACUAACUUAUGCGAAAGCAUUUGCCAAGGAUGUUUUCAUUA